GCCCUGGCGUCGGACCGCCAGGACAUAGAGUGGCGGCCUGUCGAGCCGCAGAACCCGGGUUCGAAUCCCGGCCGGGGCGCCA
Molecule: transfer RNA, 82 nt
Filed under: Thermoprotei archaeon
Lineage: Archaea; Thermoproteati; Thermoproteota; Thermoprotei
Description: tRNA-Asp
Rfam family: tRNA (bases 7-79)
About the family: Transfer RNA (tRNA) molecules are approximately 80 nucleotides in length. Their secondary structure includes four short double-helical elements and three loops (D, anti-codon, and T loops).
Source: RNAcentral